GUGGGGAAUAUUGGGCAAUGGGCGAAAGCCUGACCCAGCAACGCCGCGUGAAGGAAGAAGGUUUUCGGAUCGUAAACUUCUAUCCUAGGUGAAGAUAAUGACGGUAGCCUAGAAGGAAGCCCCGGCUAACUACGUGCCAGCAGCCGCGGUAAUACGUAGGGGGCAAGCGUUGUCCGGAAUGAUUGGGCGUAAAGGGCGCGUAGGCGGCCCGGUAAGUCUGAAGUGAAAGUCCUGCUUUUAAGGUGGGAAUUGCUUUGGAUACUGUCGGGCUUGAGUGCAGGAGAGGUAAGCGGAAUUCCCGGUGUAGCGGUGAAAUGCGUAGAGAUCGGGAGGAACACCAGUGGCGAAGGCGGCUUACUGGACUGUAACUGACGCUGAGGCGCGAAAGUGUGGGGAGCAAACAGGAUUAGAUACCCUGGUAGUCC
RNAcentral lists this ribosomal RNA (425 nucleotides) under uncultured bacterium. RNAcentral describes it as "partial 16S ribosomal RNA". It matches the Rfam family "Bacterial small subunit ribosomal RNA", at positions 354 to 796 of the family's 1533-position model. The record is from RNAcentral.